UUAUUUUAUUUUGGUUAAUGUUUUUAUUAUUAUUUUAUUUUACAUGUAAAUUUUUGAAAGAAUUAUGUUAUUUUUAAAAAAAAUAAUAAUUUAUUUUAUUCGCAGUAAUUAAUAUUAAUUAAAAAAAGAAAUUUUGUAUUAGUAAUAAUAUAUAAUAUUGGUAAAAUUUGUGCCAGCUACCGCGGUUAUACAAAUAAUAUAAAUAAAAAUUUUUAGCAUUAGUUAAAUUAUUAUAAUUUGUUUAAUAUAAAUAUAAAUUUAUUAGGUGAAAUUUAUAAAUUUAUUUAUUUAUUAAUUUUUAAUUAAUUUAAGCUAUAAACUUUUUGUAAUAAACUAGGAUUAGAUACCCUAUUAUUGAAAAUAAAUAUUGUAAAUGUUAAAGUAGUAUUAGUUAUAUUCUUAAAAUUUAAAAAAUUUGGCGGUGAUUUAGUCUAUUUAGAGGAAUCUGUCCUGUAAUUGAUAAUCCACAUUGAACCUUACUUAAAUUAAUUUAAUUUGUAUAUCGCCGUCAUCAGAAUAUGUUAUAAGAUAAAAAUUUUCUUAAUAUUUUAUUAAAUAAAAUGUCAGGUCAAGGUGCAGUUUAUAUUUAAGUAGAGAUGGAUUACAAUAAAUUUAUUUAAACGAAUAUUUUUUUGAAAUUAAAAAUUGAAGGCGGAUUUAAUAGUAAUGUAAAAUAGAUUAUUUACGUGAUUUUAGCUCUAAAUCAUGCACAUAUCGCCCAUCGUUCUUAUUUUUAAAAUAAGAUAAGUUGUAACAUAGUAGAUGUACUGGAAAGUGUAUCUAGAAAGA
This 789-nucleotide non-coding RNA is filed under the name Culiseta inconspicua. Lineage: Eukaryota; Metazoa; Arthropoda; Insecta; Diptera; Culicidae. The record is from RNAcentral.